Alicycliphilus denitrificans K601 is the source of this 149-nucleotide regulatory RNA element. It matches the Rfam family "radC RNA". Lineage: Bacteria; Pseudomonadati; Pseudomonadota; Betaproteobacteria; Burkholderiales; Comamonadaceae. The record is from Rfam.
CAUCGAAGGAAAUGCCUGCCGAGUCCCUCGGCGACAUGCCCAAGUAGCCACGAUCUUCAAGGCUACGCCGCGGCCCCGGCCGCGCUGAUCGACCCCGUUCGCUUCGCAUCCGUCGACGCGGACAGCCGCCGCGCCGCGGUGGCGGAUGC